AUAAAAUCAUUCUAGUUUCUAAUGCUGAGCCAGUUCACAAUGCCAAGGACUGAUAACAAGAAGACUCUUUCCUACAUCUCAGUGGCUGUGACUGUAACGCCUCCAGGAACAGUUUCCAGGCUGUACCUCCACAUGGAUUAUGUUUGCCCCAAGAUGAUGGCUGAGGACACCAGGGCCAGAAGCACCGCCUUUCCCAAGGCUCUUAGAUUCAGGAUCCUGAGCUGUCUCUGUCAGGGACUGACGUUCAAUUUACAGAAGAGGAACUGAGGCAAACAGGGUGGAGUGACUUGUCCAGAGUCACACAGCUGGUAAGUAUCUGAAGCAGGAUUUGAGCUCAUGAAAAAUCUAAGCCCAACACUCUAUCCAUUGUAGCACUUAGCUGCCCAAUUUAGCUCUGAC
RNAcentral lists this long non-coding RNA (399 nucleotides) under Monodelphis domestica (gray short-tailed opossum). Its description in RNAcentral is "lncRNA (ENSMODG00000035147.2)". The record is from RNAcentral. Lineage: Eukaryota; Metazoa; Chordata; Mammalia; Didelphimorphia; Didelphidae.